Molecule: ribosomal RNA, 684 nt
Filed under: Triticum aestivum (bread wheat)
Lineage: Eukaryota; Viridiplantae; Streptophyta; Magnoliopsida; Poales; Poaceae
Description: partial small subunit ribosomal RNA
Source: RNAcentral
AUGGCGGGCUACUACAACGGCGGCGGCAGGACCAUGUCCUACUCCAACACCGACGAGUGCUUCGACGGCGGCAGGACCAUGUACUCCAACACCACCGAGGAGUGCUACGACGCCGGCAAGCACGGCCACGGCCACGGCCACGGCCACGGCCACGGCCAUGGACACGGCGGGGCAAACAUGUACGCCAACACCACUGACGUGGAGUGCUUCGACUCCGGCAGGCACGGCCACGGCGGUGGCGGCAGGACCAUGUACUCCAACACCGUCGACGAGGAGUGCUUCGACUCCGGCAGGCACGGGCAUGGGCAUGGGCACGGCCACGGCCACGGCUACGGGCACAACGACGGCAGGGCUAUGUCCUACUCCACCACCACCGAGGAGUGUUUCGGAGGAGGCGAGCAGGGGCAGGGGUACUACAAGAAGGAAGUGCAGCAGCACAAGAACAGGGAGCGCGUCGGCGAGGUCGGCGCCCUCGCCGCCGGUGCCUUCGCGCUGUACGAGGGGUACGAGGUGAAGAAGGACCCGGCGCACGCGAGGAAGCACCAGAUCGAGGCCGGCGUGGCCGGGGCGGCGGCCCUCGGCGCCGGCGGCUACGCGUACCACGAGCACCGCGAGCAGAAGCAGGCCGCGUACGGCGGGCAGCAGGAGUACAGGAUGCCCGUCCACAACAGCUACUGCAACUGA